CCCAACUAUCCCCAAAAGGGGUCCAGCGCCCCAACAGAAGGGAUGUUAAAUCCGUUGUACCCAAAGCUCGAACCCGGGUAAAUCCGUUGUACCCAAGGCUCGAACCCGGGUGGCGGGCAGUACAACUGUACUUCCUUUACCACCAAGCUACGAACGCUUGGUUAAAAUUGUAUAGGUUAAAUUUUUUAUAGUGACUGGGCUCACCCCGAAGGGCCACCUCGCCAUAAAUCCCCGUAGAGAUUUUUUAGGUAACCCAGUACCACCCCGCUGUCCCCGAGUAUCGAACUGACGAACUCGGGUAGUCGUGUGUGAGAAACAUUCAGUACUGCCGCUAAGCCACGUGGUGGUGGUCCAUAUUGAAUUGUGGAUAUUAAAAACGAUUUCCAAAACGAUAAGAGUUGUUCUUGAUCAACUUGAUUAACGAUUGGGAGACCGAGUGAAUCACAAUUGAUUCAAUUCCACGGUUGAGGGCGAAGAUCAUGGCAUGUCGAACAGCCAAAGCUUCGGCCAUUAGGGGCGAUGAGACAAAUGUCUCCGUCGCUGAGUGUUGUGUCGAUGAAAUCAGAUCAUCAAUGACCCAACCAAAUCCUGCACAGCUAGUAGAAGGAUUCCAGGCAGCGUCUGUGAAGACAGAGGAAUGGGCUUGACGAUGAGGAUUUGGUUCGAUGUUGAUCAUCGGAGUACGGGGGAGAGCAAUUUUGAUCUGAUCCUGGGCGAGUGUCCUGUCCAUUCUCUAGCGUCUGAGAGGGCUUUUGUUUUGUCAGGGUUUCCUUCUGGUGUUGGAAGAUGAGUUGAUUUCUCGAGAGCCAGAUGGACCAGACAAUCCAAGUUGAGAUCGUUCCUGCCGCUAGGCCCACCGGUGGGAGAGAUGGGAUCAAGUCCUGCAAGUGUAGUCUCAACCAGAUUUGCGUGAAAAGGAGAAGUAAAGGGUGCGAGAUUCCAAACUCUUGUAGCGUAUGAACAGGUAGUGCGUAAGAUCUUUAGUUUUUGGGAGACCUUGAGAUUCCAGACGUUCGCAAGCCAGUCAAUCGAGGCGUCUGGAGCCAUUGGAGGUAUCAGGGGCUGCUCUUCCGUCAUGGUGAGGUAACCAGAGCGUGUUGAGUAAAUUCCCGAAGGUUUUAACGACUUUUCCAUUUGUUCUUUUUGUAGAAUGAGUUAUAUAAUUUGUUAAGACAGCAUUGUUUCUACAGCCACAGUUGUUACCAAAUCUCUCAAGUUAAUUCGUUCGAUCUUUCCAUCUGGAGAAAGAAUAUUUUGACUAUGAAGGCAAUUAUUCCAGCGGCAGUUGAAGACAAAACAUCACUAUCAAUUUCUGUGCCGAAGAUCGCUUUGACAGCAAGAUGGCCUUUCUCAUAUUACGUGCGUUCUUUUGCUUGACUAUCAAGGUCAAACAAAUAUUAGUUUAAGAGGAUAUGAUGUAAGAGAUAGACAUAUAAGUAUUGUUUCUUACUAUAAGUAUCGCAACCAUCACAGCCGCCUGUUCAAUAAAAAUUUAAAAUCAGCUGA
Molecule: long non-coding RNA, 1506 nt
Organism: Brassica napus (rape)
Lineage: Eukaryota; Viridiplantae; Streptophyta; Magnoliopsida; Brassicales; Brassicaceae
Exons: 3
Source: RefSeq, a predicted model, not a curated record